RNAcentral lists this ribosomal RNA (274 nucleotides) under uncultured bacterium. Its description in RNAcentral is "partial 16S ribosomal RNA". It matches the Rfam family "Archaeal small subunit ribosomal RNA", at positions 473 to 747 of the family's 1478-position model. The record is from RNAcentral.
AAACCAGCACCUCAAGUGGUCAGGAUGAUUAUUGGGCCUAAAGCAUCCGUAGCCGGCUCUGUAAGUUUUCGGUUAAAUCUGUACGCUCAACGUACAGGCUGUCGGGAAUACUGCAGAGCUAGGGAGUGGGAGAGGUAGACGGUACUCGGGAGGAAGUGGUAAAAUGCUUUGAUCUCUCGAUGACCACCUGUGGCGAAGGCGGUCUACCAGAACACGUCCGACGGUGAGGGAUGAAAGCUGGGGGAGCAAACCGGAUUAGAAACCCCAGUAGUCC